Molecule: long non-coding RNA, 998 nt
Filed under: Triticum aestivum (bread wheat)
Lineage: Eukaryota; Viridiplantae; Streptophyta; Magnoliopsida; Poales; Poaceae
Description: long non-coding RNA (TAES_LNC016783)
Source: RNAcentral
AAAAAUUUGAGCCAAUACCAUUUAAAAAAAAUGCUAUGUCAUUAAAUAAAACGAAAUUACAUGAACAUAGUAAAAAAAUAACAUUUACAUAAAAGGAAAAAAUACCAAAAAUAUAAAAUUACAAACAUUUCCGGACAGUACACAUGUACAGGAGCAAAACGAGAGAAAUGUCCCAAAGAUUCUUCGGCAGAGAACACUCUAUGCUACUUCCCAAGCUUGCACCCCACCACCCCUCUCACGCUGCCCAUCGCUCGACGGACAACAACCGGGGGUCAUUCAGAUGCCUUUCUGGAGGUAGAUCUAGUCGCCCCCUCCGACGUCAUCGAAGGGUGCCGGCAUCUUCACCACCAUAUCGCCUGGAUCCAUGCUCAUGAGCAGUCAAUCUACACAUGGAACCGUCGUUUCUUGUGCGUGAACAAGAUAUACUGCAUCGAAAAAUCAGAAGAAAGUGUAGAAGACAGCCCGUGAAAAAAGUGUAAAAGACAGGGAAGAGGAGCUGGUGGGGCAGGGGACUCACUGCCCGUGGUAUAGGCGACGAACGCGAACCCCUCGGCCCGACGGCAUGGGCUCGGUGCUGGCUCAGUGUCGCCUCCGCGGCAUGAGUCGCUUGCGCUCUACAACGACCCAAGCACCACCCGCAUCGACGGCACCGCUGCCCCAGGUCCUAGGUCGGCCUUCAGAGGCGUUGCUCCCACCAGGGACGAGGGCGUUGUCGCGGCGUCAGAUGGCUCCAUCCUUGAGGACGACCGGUUGCCGCCACUGGGGACGACGCCGUUGUCGCGCCGUCGGGAUGGUUGCAGGAUGCGGAGGAAAGGAUGGUUGUUGCUGGGGAGAUGGUGGCCGGCUCCAUCUGUUUUUUUGGUGCGGCCUCCUAGCAAGACCUGCCCGUGAAUCGGGGGAAAUGGAAGGGAAACGGCGGAGGCAAUGGGAGUCAGGGAUUGAGGAAGAAGAAGAACGAAUUGGGGGAAGUUUGGUUUCGGCGGAGGUCUGUGCUUUUG